RNAcentral lists this ribosomal RNA (466 nucleotides) under Rhodococcus rhodochrous. RNAcentral's name for it is "bacterial SSU rRNA". It matches the Rfam family "Bacterial small subunit ribosomal RNA", at positions 383 to 859 of the family's 1533-position model. The record is from RNAcentral. Lineage: Bacteria; Bacillati; Actinomycetota; Actinomycetes; Mycobacteriales; Nocardiaceae.
CUGAUGCAGCGACGCCGCGUGAGGGAUGACGGCCUUCGGGUUGUAAACCUCUUUCAGCAGGGACGAAGCGCAAGUGACGGUACCUGCAGAAGAAGCACCGGCCAACUACGUGCCAGCAGCCGCGGUAAUACGUAGGGUGCGAGCGUUGUCCGGAAUUACUGGGCGUAAAGAGCUCGUAGGCGGUUUGUCGCGUCGUCUGUGAAAACCCGCAGCUCAACUGCGGGCUUGCAGGCGAUACGGGCAGACUCGAGUACUGCAGGGGAGACUGGAAUUCCUGGUGUAGCGGUGAAAUGCGCAGAUAUCAGGAGGAACACCGGUGGCGAAGGCGGGUCUCUGGGCAGUAACUGACGCUGAGGAGCGAAAGCGUGGGUAGCGAACAGGAUUAGAUACCCUGGUAGUCCACGCCGUAAACGGUGGGCGCUAGGUGUGGGUUUCCUUCCACGGGAUCCGUGCCGUAGCCAACGCA